Molecule: ribosomal RNA, 497 nt
Filed under: uncultured bacterium
Lineage: Bacteria
Description: partial 16S ribosomal RNA
Rfam family: Bacterial small subunit ribosomal RNA
Source: RNAcentral
GAUGAACGCUGGCGGCGUGCCUAAUACAUGCAAGUCGAGCGAACGGACGAGAAGCUUGCUUCUCUGAUGUUAGCGGCGGACGGGUGAGUAACACGUGGAUAACCUACCUAUAAGACUGGGAUAACUUCGGGAAACCGGAGCUAAUACCGGAUAAUAUUUUGAACCGCAUGGUUCAAAAGUGAAAGACGGUCUUGCUGUCACUUAUAGAUGGAUCCGCGCUGCAUUAGCUAGUUGGUAAGGUAACGGCUUACCAAGGCAACGAUGCAUAGCCGACCUGAGAGGGUGAUCGGCCACACUGGAACUGAGACACGGUCCAGACGCCUACGGGAGGCAGCAGUAGGGAAUCUUCCGCAAUGGGCGAAAGCCUGACGGAGCAACGCCGCGUGAGUGAUGAAGGUCUUCGGAUCGUAAAACUCUGUUAUGAGGGAAGAACAUAUGUGUAAGGAACUGUGCACAUCUUGACGGUACCUAAUCAGAAAGCCACGGCUAACUACGUG